RNAcentral lists this long non-coding RNA (540 nucleotides) under Phasianus colchicus (ring-necked pheasant). Its description in RNAcentral is "lncRNA (ENSPCLG00000006005.1)". The record is from RNAcentral. Lineage: Eukaryota; Metazoa; Chordata; Aves; Galliformes; Phasianidae.
CAGAGAUGAGACAGCAGGGAGGUGUGACAGCUUGUAUACUUCUGAAAGUACUCUCAUGUCUUCUGUGCAGCUGUAAUAUCCACUUGGCCCAGAAGUGAUGAGAUUUGUCAUCGCUUGGCACGCAGGAAUGGAGAAAGCAGAGCCAGAAUGGAAACAAACCCUGAGCAUUUUUAAAUGAAAAUGAGAAACAAAACUCUGAGGUUUCUGCACCCAAUCAUGAUAAUGCACUCUAAGGCUACCUCCCAUGUGAAUAUUAAGGAGCAGCGACACCUGGGCUUCUGGGCGCUUUAAUUACAGAAGUCAAUAAUAAAGACUGGCCACUGCGUGAAAGCAAUCUCAGAAGUCGAGCGAGAAGAAAACUUCCCAUCAUUCCAGACCUGUAUUUUUGUGGCUUUACAAGAAUGCUGUUGAAUCUGCACUGGGAACAGAGUAGCUGCAUCUUAUUUAUAGCUCUGUUCCGUCUGGUUCAUUUCCUCUAACUUCCCCACAGAAUGAUAUGAAUGAAAAUGACACUAUUGACUAUGUGGAUGACAAUAAAAG